CCUAAAUGUACAUCAUGCAUUCACGUUUGUCUGCUUUUUUUAUUGUCUACUGAUGGGAUUCUGUUAGUAUAUAGGAUUUUAUGGAGUAUGAAGCAUUCUUAUGCUGCUGCAGGAGGGAUCCCAAUAAAGGACUCAGGAAUUCCCCCUUAGCCAGAUAUUUUCUGAUUUCCUUCCUGUGACAUAUUUAUUAUAACCUAUUGCAGAGCAGCACUUUUCAUGCCCUGCCAUCAACAUGUCAAAGAAGAAAACAAGAUUAAUGUAUCACCAUGGAAACCAGCUCUGCACCGGACAUAGAUGUCCGCCAUUUUUUGGGCGCUCGAUAGUAAAAGGAAGCACCGCCCCUUAGAGGCGUCAUUUAAUGUAAUACCGCCCAUGGACACGCCCUCUUGGUAAUAACUCCUCCCAUAGCCCUUUCAGUGAACGUCCCUCUCCAGACCAAGUGGGCUAAGCCCCGCCCACGGGCACGCCCCCACUCCGUCCUGAGACGUAAGCCCCUCCUCUUAGCAACAGGAAGCCUCCUUGACAACGAGAAAAAGUUUUUAAAAUCUAGUGCAGAUUAAACUGAAAGUAUAGGGACUGGCAUGUGAGGGUGAGUGGGUGCAGGUAUGGUAUAUAAAGUAUAGGGACUGGCAUGUGAGGGUGAGUGGGUGCAGGUAUGGUAUAUAAAGUAUAGGGACUGGCAUGUGAGGGUGAGUGGGUGCAGGUAUGGUGUAUAAAGUAUAGGGACUGGCAUGUGAGGGUGAGUGGGUGCAGGUAUGGUAUAUAAAGUAUAGGGACUGGCAUGUGAGGGUGAGUGGGUGCAGGUAUGGUAUAUAAAGUAUAGGGACUGGCAUGUGAGGGUGAGUGGGUGCAGGUAUGGUAUAUAAAGUAUAGGGACUGGCAUGUGAGGGUGAGUGGGUGCAGGUAUGGUAUAUAAAGUAUAGGGACUGGCAUGCGAGGGUGAGUGGGUGCAGGUAUGGUAUAUAAAGUAUAGGGACUGACAUGCGAGGGUGAGUGGUUGCAGGUAUGGUAUAUAAAGUAUAGGGACUGGCAUGUGAGGGUGAGUGGGUGCAGGUAUGGUAUAUAAAUAUAGGGACUGGCAUGUGAUGGUCAAAGGCUGGGGCCACAUACCUCCCAAGUGUCCCUAUUUAGGAGGGACAGUCCCUAGUUUGGGCUCAAAUCCCUUUGUCCCUCUUUUUUAGGAGUUUCCAUAUUGUUCCUCUUUUUUAUGAGUUUCCAUAUUGUCCCUCUUUUUUAGGAGCUCUAUAUUGUUGGUGUGUUUGAGUGUAUUACAG
Molecule: non-coding RNA, 1274 nt
Organism: Pelobates cultripes (western spadefoot toad)
Lineage: Eukaryota; Metazoa; Chordata; Amphibia; Anura; Pelobatidae
Source: the annotation of a GenBank genome assembly